RNAcentral lists this ribosomal RNA (252 nucleotides) under uncultured Bacteroidales bacterium. Its description in RNAcentral is "partial 16S ribosomal RNA". It matches the Rfam family "Bacterial small subunit ribosomal RNA", at positions 524 to 776 of the family's 1533-position model. Lineage: Bacteria; Pseudomonadati; Bacteroidota; Bacteroidia; Bacteroidales. The record is from RNAcentral.
UACGGAGGAUGCGAGCGUUAUCCGGAUUUAUUGGGUUUAAAGGGUGCGUAGGCUGUGAGGUAAGUCAGCGGUCAAAGCCCGGGGCUCAACCCCGGCCCGCCGUUGAAACUGGCAGUCUCGAGUUGGAGAGAAGUAUGCGGAAUGCGUGGUGUAGCGGUGAAAUGCAUAGAUAUCACGCAGAACUCCGAUUGCGAAGGCAGCAUACCGGCGCCCGACUGACGCUGAAGCACGAAAGCGUGGGUAUCGAACAGG